Molecule: ribosomal RNA, 292 nt
Filed under: uncultured bacterium
Lineage: Bacteria
Description: partial 16S ribosomal RNA
Rfam family: Bacterial small subunit ribosomal RNA
Source: RNAcentral
GUGCCAGCCGCCGCGGUAAGACGAACCGUGCGAACGUUGUUCGGAAUCACUGGGCUUAAAGGGCGCGUAGGCGGGCAGACAAGUCCGGGGUGAAAUCUUUCGGCUCAACCGGAAAAUUGCCUUGGAUACUGUCUGUCUCGAGGGAGGUAGGGGCAUGUGGAACUUCCGGUGGAGCGGUGAAAUGCGUUGAUAUCGGAAGGAACUCCGGUGGCGAAAGCGACGUGCUGGACCUCUUCUGACGCUGAGGCGCGAAAGCUAGGGGAGCAAACGGGAUUAGAAACCCGCGUAGUCC